This 819-nucleotide long non-coding RNA is filed under the name Gallus gallus (chicken). RNAcentral's name for it is "long non-coding RNA NONGGAT004800". The record is from RNAcentral. Lineage: Eukaryota; Metazoa; Chordata; Aves; Galliformes; Phasianidae.
ACACAAACAAGUUCCACUUUCAUACAUGCAAAGAACAAACCUGACUGCUUUCCUAUGAAUUGUCACUGAGUGGUUCGAGCUGUGUCCUCAUAAGGACAUGCAGGAGUGGGCAACAGCAGGAGUACUCAAAGGAUUCUUCUGCCCACGGUACCAAUUAAGAGUUCUUCUGGUCUGCAAGCCAAAAAGAAGGAAAACAAAGCCUCAUCCUCCGGUCUGCAUCCCUAAAGCAAACUGAAAGUGUUGAGUAGAACUGAUUGCUUCUUCACAGGUUGUUUUUCAGAUAACUGAGCUGGCUUUGAACAUCUCUCCUGCAUUGGGACUUUCAGUACUUUCACUACUCUUCGGCUCCAGAAGCUGCACUUCAGUCAAAACGUGGCAUUUAAAGUCCUUCAUAUCUGAGAUAAUUAGUUUCUUUUUGACUACCUUUUCAGUGAGAGAGAGUGCAAGCAUUGUCAUACAGGAUUUGCAUGGUGGCUAUUUGUCUCUAAGUAACAUUGUUAUUUGGUCUUUGUUACCUUAAGGAUUGAAGUUUGAAGGUUAUGCUGGGCUUCAUUUUCAUGCAACCCUUACAAAUACAAUGUGUUCUAACUCACACCAAGUAAGGAUACCUAAAUAUAGAGGCCGAAGCUACAGGACAGACCUUGCAGAUACGCUCUGGGGGUUUUCCCUUCCUGCCCCACUGAGCCAGCAGGGAGCCCUCUCCUGCACAAUGCAAUGCAGUGGUUUCUCCUUGGAGCAGGCAGAUGUGCUUUCCCUUCUGUCCAAAUAUCUUUGCAAGCACACGAGCCUUCCAGCUGCACCCAGGCCAGUUGUUUUGUC